This 468-nucleotide ribosomal RNA is filed under the name uncultured bacterium. Its description in RNAcentral is "partial 16S ribosomal RNA". It matches the Rfam family "Bacterial small subunit ribosomal RNA", at positions 28 to 507 of the family's 1533-position model. The record is from RNAcentral.
GACGAACGCUGGCGGCGUGCUUAACACAUGCAAGUCGAACGGAAAGGCCCUGCUUUUGUGGGGUGCUCGAGUGGCGAACGGGUGAGUAACACGUGAGUAACCUGCCCUUGACUUUGGGAUAACUUCAGGAAACUGGGGCUAAUACCGGAUAGGAGCUCCUGCUGCAUGGUGGGGGUUGGAAAGUUUCGGCGGUUGGGGAUGGACUCGCGGCUUAUCAGCUUGUUGGUGGGGUAGUGGCUUACCAAGGCUUUGACGGGUAGCCGGCCUGAGAGGGUGACCGGCCCCAUUGGGACUGAGGUACGGCCCAGACUCCUACGGUAGGCAGCAGUGGGGAAUAUUGCACAAUGGGCGGAAGCCUGAUGCAGCAACGCCGCGUGCGGGAUGACGGCCUUCGGGUUGUAAACCGCUUUCGCCUGUGCCGAAGCGUGAGUGACGGUAAUGGGUAAAGAAGCACCGGCUAACUACGUG